GCCUGGAUAGCUCAGUUGGUUAGAGCAUGGUGCUGAUAACACCAAAGUUACAGGUUUGAUCCCUGUACAAGACA
This 74-nucleotide transfer RNA is filed under the name Podarcis lilfordi (Lilford's wall lizard). It matches the Rfam family "tRNA". Rfam says of the family: Transfer RNA (tRNA) molecules are approximately 80 nucleotides in length. Their secondary structure includes four short double-helical elements and three loops (D, anti-codon, and T loops). Lineage: Eukaryota; Metazoa; Chordata; Lepidosauria; Squamata; Lacertidae. The record is from Rfam by way of RNAcentral.